GUGAAUAAAUAGGUUAAAAAAGAAAGAAAAUAAUGAUGGUAAACGGGCAGUGAGGGGACAGUGGCGGUGGACAUGACCCUUGGCGGUGGCCAGGCUGCGGUGCAGAGGUGUCAGAAGGCUAGGGUUUUCUUUCUGAUUUUAAGUUGUGUUUGGGCUUGUAGUUUUAGUGGAUAUUGGGCUCGUUUGGGGUUUGGGUAGGUUUUGUUGAGUUUUAGGCUUAGUGGGUUUAGGGGUUUUGGGCCCAAAAUUGGGCUUGUACAUACAUCAUCUACAAGAACAUCUCAACAUGUAUCCUUUCAUGAAUUGAUCAGUCAACUAAUUUUAUUCUA
Molecule: long non-coding RNA, 329 nt
Organism: Gossypium arboreum
Lineage: Eukaryota; Viridiplantae; Streptophyta; Magnoliopsida; Malvales; Malvaceae
Exons: 2
Source: RefSeq, a predicted model, not a curated record